GUCUUCCGGCCGCGCCUCGAAUCCCGUCAGGCGCAGGAAGGGCGGAGAGCCUCGUGGGCUUCGAGGGGCUCUGCGAGCUCUGCAGUUGAGGCCUUGGUCUGAGGCAGGAGUCCUGAGGUCACAGAGCAGAGGAGGCGCGGCCGCGUGCCAGUCGGUUGUCCAGGCGAGGUGCGUGCUCCGCGCGUGGGGCCGGGGGCUCACCCAUCCCACCCCAGAGGGGACCCCUCGGCCCCCAACCCCCACGCGGCCCCGCUCUCAGGCCUGGGAGCUCGGGGUCUGGGUGGGCUGGGCCUCCCCCUGAGGAGCCACCCCUCUUCUGUCUUCAGGGUCUGGCGACCAUCAUGCCCCUGCGUCAGAGGAGUGAGCUCUGCAAGGUCGAGGAGGAG
RNAcentral lists this long non-coding RNA (386 nucleotides) under Felis catus (domestic cat). RNAcentral describes it as "lncRNA (ENSFCAG00000048316.1)". Lineage: Eukaryota; Metazoa; Chordata; Mammalia; Carnivora; Felidae. The record is from RNAcentral.